RNAcentral lists this ribosomal RNA (465 nucleotides) under Vreelandella stevensii. RNAcentral's name for it is "partial 16S ribosomal RNA". It matches the Rfam family "Bacterial small subunit ribosomal RNA", at positions 338 to 795 of the family's 1533-position model. Lineage: Bacteria; Pseudomonadati; Pseudomonadota; Gammaproteobacteria; Oceanospirillales; Halomonadaceae. The record is from RNAcentral.
CCUACGGGUGGCAGCAGUGGGGAAUAUUGGACAAUGGGCGAAAGCCUGAUCCAGCCAUGCCGCGUGUGUGAAGAAGGCCUUCGGGUUGUAAAGCACUUUCAGUGGGGAAGAAAGCCUUGGGGCUAAUACCCUCGAGGAAGGACAUCACCCACAGAAGAAGCACCGGCUAACUCCGUGCCAGCAGCCGCGGUAAUACGGAGGGUGCGAGCGUUAAUUGGAAUUACUGGGCGUAAAGCGCGCGUAGGCGGUCUGAUAAGCCGGUUGUGAAAGCCCCGGGCUCAACCUGGGAACGGCAUCCGGAACUGUCAGGCUAGAGUGCAGGAGAGGAAGGUAGAAUUCCCGGUGUAGCGGUGAAAUGCGUAGAGAUCGGGAGGAAUACCAGUGGCGAAGGCGGCCUUCUGGACUGACACUGACGCUGAGGUGCGAAAGCGUGGGUAGCAAACAGGAUUAGAUACCCCGGUAGUC